Molecule: transfer RNA, 82 nt
Filed under: Ixodes scapularis (black-legged tick)
Lineage: Eukaryota; Metazoa; Arthropoda; Arachnida; Ixodida; Ixodidae
Rfam family: tRNA
About the family: Transfer RNA (tRNA) molecules are approximately 80 nucleotides in length. Their secondary structure includes four short double-helical elements and three loops (D, anti-codon, and T loops).
Source: Rfam by way of RNAcentral
ACCAUCGUGGCCAAGUGGUUAAGGCGAUGGACUAGAGAUCCAUUGGGGUCUCCCUCCAUGGGUGCAAAUCCUGUCGACUGCG